Molecule: ribosomal RNA, 429 nt
Filed under: Chloroflexota bacterium
Lineage: Bacteria; Bacillati; Chloroflexota
Description: Chloroflexi bacterium partial 16S ribosomal RNA
Rfam family: Bacterial small subunit ribosomal RNA
Source: RNAcentral
UCGGGAAUAUUGCACAAUGGGCGCAAGCCUGAUGCAGCCAUGCCGCGUGUAUGAAGAAGGCCUUCGGGUUGUAAAGUACUUUCAGUCGGGAGGAAGGUGUCAAGGUUAAUAACCUUGGCAAUUGACGUUACCGACAGAAGAAGCACCGGCUAACUCCGUGCCAGCAGCCGCGGUAAUACGGAGGGUGCAAGCGUUAAUCGGAAUUACUGGGCGUAAAGCGCACGCAGGCGGUUGAUUGAGUCAGAUGUGAAAUCCCCGGGCUUAACCCGGGAAUUGCAUCUGAUACUGGUCAGCUAGAGUCUUGUAGAGGGGGGUAGAAUUCCAUGUGUAGCGGUGAAAUGCGUAGAGAUGUGGAGGAAUACCGGUGGCGAAGGCGGCCCCCUGGACAAAGACUGACGCUCAGGUGCGAAAGCGUGGGGAGCAAACAGG